Sinocyclocheilus rhinocerous is the source of this 630-nucleotide long non-coding RNA. RefSeq lists it as uncharacterized. NCBI's taxonomy places the organism in Eukaryota, Metazoa, Chordata, Actinopteri, Cypriniformes, Cyprinidae. The transcript has 3 exons. The record is from RefSeq and is a predicted model, not a curated record.
UGCAGCUGAACUGUUCUGUGUGUAUGCAUAGGAUUUGACAAUUCCAUUUAAAUUAAAUUCAGGUUAAAUACCUUUCUACAAUUGGAAGACCAAACUAUGGAGAGACAGUGCGGCGAAUCAUGAGAAAAAUCACUUCCUCAGAAGUUUGGUCACAGUUUAGCCUCAAAGGAAGGAAGGGGAAGAGGAGACUUGAAGAACUCUCUGUUUAUCGAGUUCUAAUAAGGGCAAUAAUGAAAUCACAACCUGGGUCUACUAGCAUGGAUGCUGAAAGCCAGAUUGCAGAGACCCUUAAACAUGCACCAGGUCUGGUUAGGAGAAAGGCUAAUUUUUACCUGCCUGCUGCACAUCAUUCUCUGUCCCCGGAUUGUCUGCCUGGUUUUGACUUGUGCCUGCCGACUGGUUUCUGCGCUUGCCUUUUCCUCUGGAUGUGUUUAUCUUUAUUGGACUGUUGAUGUCUACCGAGUCCGACCUUCCCGUCUGCGCUCCCCUGUCCGCCGUGUUCUCCAGUCCCGAGUCCGCCUCAUCAGCCGGUGACCUGACUGUCUCAGCUGCUUUUCUUUUGUUCAGCAAACGUUCUCAAAUGCCUUUUUUUAAGCUUUUUUAUUUGUAGUCCAUUAUAUUUGAGCUAAA